Molecule: ribosomal RNA, 305 nt
Filed under: uncultured bacterium
Lineage: Bacteria
Description: bacterial SSU rRNA
Rfam family: Bacterial small subunit ribosomal RNA
Source: RNAcentral
GCCUACGGGGCGCAGCAGUGGGGAAUAUUGCACAAUGGGGGAAACCCUGAUGCAGCGACGCCGCGUGGGCGACGAAGCGCUCCGGCGCGUAAAGCCCUGUCAGCAGGGAAGAACAAAGACAGUACCUGACCAAGAAGCACCGGCUAAAUACGUGCCAGCAGCCGCGGUAAUACGUAUGGUGCAAGCGUUAUCCGGAUUUACUGGGUGUAAAGGGAGCGCAGGCGGCACGGCAAGCCUGAUGUGAAAGCCCGCGGCCCAACCGCGGGACUGCAUUGGGAACUACCGGGCUGGAGUGCCGGAGAGGG